RNAcentral lists this ribosomal RNA (253 nucleotides) under uncultured bacterium. Its description in RNAcentral is "partial 16S ribosomal RNA". It matches the Rfam family "Bacterial small subunit ribosomal RNA", at positions 524 to 776 of the family's 1533-position model. The record is from RNAcentral.
UACGUAGGCAGCAAGCGUUGUUCGGAGUUACUGGGCGUAAAGGGUGCGUAGGCGGCCAGACAGGUCCGUUGUGAAAACUCGAGGCUCAACCUCGAGACGUCGAUGGAAACCGUCUGGCUAGAGUCCGGAAGAGGAGAGUGGAAUUCCUGGUGUAGCGGUGAAAUGCGCAGAUAUCAGGAAGAACACCCGUGGCGAAGGCGGCUCUCUGGGACGGUACUGACGCUGAGGCACGAAAGCGUGGGGAGCAAACAGG